This 83-nucleotide transfer RNA is filed under the name Nitrospira sp. RNAcentral describes it as "tRNA-Leu". It matches the Rfam family "tRNA". From Rfam's summary of the family: Transfer RNA (tRNA) molecules are approximately 80 nucleotides in length. Their secondary structure includes four short double-helical elements and three loops (D, anti-codon, and T loops). Lineage: Bacteria; Pseudomonadati; Nitrospirota; Nitrospiria; Nitrospirales; Nitrospiraceae. RNAcentral also lists the same sequence under 7 other names. The record is from RNAcentral.
GCGAGAGUGGCGGAACUGGCAGACGCGCGAGACUUAGGAUCUCGUGGGAAACCGUGGGGGUUCAAGUCCCUCCUCUCGCACCA